UAAGUUUUGACAAAGUCAAAAGAAAGGCACAGAUCUUUCAUUUUCUUUACAUGACUUUUAUGCCUUCUUCUUCUUCCCCUUUUUUUAUUUCACAGAACAAACCUAAAGAAAGGUAUAAAUUUUUCAUUUUCUUUAUACGGCUUUUAUGACUUAUUUUUCUUCCCUUUUUUUUUUUAUUUCACAGAACAAACACAUAUUUAUUUCACCAAAAAACAAAUGAAGGAAAUAGAUCAUCAAAAAAAUCCGCGCUUCAAUGGAGCACAACUGACUCCAGAUUUGAAAGUUACUAGAUCUAUUCACGUUGGGUUCAAAUUUUUUGAUUUUGUUCUGGAGUUGUUUGUUCUCUUACAGAUAAAAGAUGUCUGCCAAAAUAAAAGAAAGUGAAAGUGGAUCAAAUUUGGACCGUCCAACAUAAAAGUCUAGAGUAAAAAUGGGUUCGAAGGAAUAAGCUGCUUGCAGAUGGGACCACUUCAUAUGUGGGAGAUAUGGAUGAUCCAGCUUGGGACAUGGCAAUUCUGCGCGAAACCAUGUGAAAACUUCAAAGGCAAAUUCAUGAACUCUAGAGGGAGUUGGGCACCAUGAGAACAAUGAUGUUUCAUGAGAAUAAAAGGCUGCGAGGGCCCUGCUACUGCCGGUUGAUGAUGGGUUUUCAAAUGAAAAUAAUAUUAUUAUUAAUAAUAAUGAAAAUAAUAAUUAUCUUAUAUAUUUUAUUUUAGCAUAUGUAUUUUGUUUUAUUUACAUCGGAUCUACCUAAACCAAAUGUAGUUUUUUUAUUGGUUUUGUAUUUUUGUAUGUAAUUAAUGAAAAAAACUAUGUUUGGUC
Capsicum annuum is the source of this 822-nucleotide long non-coding RNA. RefSeq lists it as uncharacterized. Lineage: Eukaryota; Viridiplantae; Streptophyta; Magnoliopsida; Solanales; Solanaceae. The transcript is spliced from 3 exons. The record is from RefSeq and is a predicted model, not a curated record.